GUCGAACGCUGGCGGCGUGCUUAACACAUGCAAGUCGAACGGAAAGGCCCCCUUGUGGGGUACUCGAGUGGCGAACGGGUGAGUAACACGUGAGUAACCUACCCUUGACUUUGGGAUAACUUCAGGAAACUGGGGCUAAUACCGGAUAGGAGCUCCUGCUGCAUGGUGGGGGUUGGAAAGUUUCGGCGGUUGGGGAUGGACUCGCGGCUUAUCAGCUUGUUGGUGGGGUAGUGGCUCACCAAGGCUUUGACGGGUAGCCGGCCUGAGAGGGUGACCGGCCACAUUGGGACUGAGAUACGGCCCAGACUCCUACGGGAGGCAGCAGUGGGGAAUAUUGCACAAUGGGCGGAAGCCUGAUGCAGCAACGCCGCGUGCGGGAUGACGGCCUUCGGGUUGUAAACCGCUUUCGCCUGUGACGAAGCGUGAGUGACGGUAAUGGGUAAAGAAGCACCGGCUAACUACGUG
RNAcentral lists this ribosomal RNA (465 nucleotides) under uncultured bacterium. RNAcentral describes it as "partial 16S ribosomal RNA". It matches the Rfam family "Bacterial small subunit ribosomal RNA", at positions 28 to 507 of the family's 1533-position model. The record is from RNAcentral.